This 386-nucleotide ribosomal RNA is filed under the name uncultured bacterium. RNAcentral describes it as "bacterial SSU rRNA". It matches the Rfam family "Bacterial small subunit ribosomal RNA", at positions 30 to 410 of the family's 1533-position model. The record is from RNAcentral.
AUUGAACGCUGGCGGCAGGCCUAACACAUGCAAGUCGAACGGUAACAGGAAGCAGCUUGCUGCUUUGCUGACGAGUGGCGGACGGGUGAGUAAUGUCUGGGAAACUGCCUGAUGGAGGGGGAUAACUACUGGAAACGGUAGCUAAUACCGCAUAACGUCGCAAGACCAAAGAGGGGGACCUUCGGGCCUCUUGCCAUCGGAUGUGCCCAGAUGGGAUUAGCUAGUAGGUGGGGUAACGGCUCACCUAGGCGACGAUCCCUAGCUGGUCUGAGAGGAUGACCAGCCACACUGGAACUGAGACACGGUCCAGACUCCUACGGGAGGCAGCAGUGGGGAAUAUUGCACAAUGGGCGCAAGCCUGAUGCAGCCAUGCCGCGUGUAUGAAG